RNAcentral lists this ribosomal RNA (1244 nucleotides) under Oligosporidium occidentalis. RNAcentral's name for it is "cytosolic 18S rRNA". It matches the Rfam family "Microsporidia small subunit ribosomal RNA". Lineage: Eukaryota; Fungi; Microsporidia. The record is from RNAcentral.
CACCAGGUUGAUUCUGCCUGACGUAGACGCUAUUCCCUAAGAUUAACCCAUGCAUGUUCUUGACGAUUAUAUCUGAAAGAUGGACUGCUCAGUAAUACUCACUUUAUUUUAUGUAUACAGCAUGUAACUACGUUAAAGUGUAGAUAAUACGUGUACAGUAAGAGUGAGACCUAUCAGCUAGUUGUUAAGGUAAUGGCUUAACAAGGCAGUAACGGGUAACGGUAUUACUUUGUAAUAUUCCGGAGAAGGAGCCUGAGAGACGGCUACUAAGUCUAAGGAUUGCAGCAGGGGCGAAACUUGACCUAUGGAUUGUUUCUGAGGCAGUUAUGGGAAGUAAUUUAUAUUGUUUCAUAUUUUAAACGUAUAUGAGGUGAUUAAUUGGAGGGCAAAUCAAGUGCCAGCAGCCGCGGUAAUACUUGUUCCAAGAGUGUGUAUGAUGAUUGAUGCAGUUAAAAAGUCCGUAGUUUAUGGUUAAGAAGCAAUAUGAGGUGUACUGUAUAGUUGGGAGAGAGAUGAAAUGUGACGACCCUGACUGGACGAACAGAAGCGAAAGCUGUACACUUGUAUGUAUUUUUUGAACAAGGACGUAAGCUGGAGGAUCGAAGAUGAUUAGAUACCAUUGUAGUUCCAGCAGUAAACUAUGCCGACGAUGUGAUAUGAAUAUUCGUAUUACAUAAUAGAAAUUAGAGUUUUUUGGCUCUGGGGAUAGUAUGAUCGCAAGAUUGAAAAUUAAAGAAAUUGACGGAAGAAUACCACAAGGAGUGGAUUGUGCGGCUUAAUUUGACUCAACGCGAGGUAACUUACCAAUAUUUUAUUAUUCUGAGAGAAUACGAUUCGAGAAUGAUAAUAGUGGUGCAUGGCCGUUUUCAAUGGAUGCUGUGAAGUUUUGAUUAAUUUCAACAAGACGUGAGACCCUUUUGUAUAGACAGACACAAUCAGUGUAGGAAGGAAAGGAUUAAAACAGGUCCGUUAUGCCCUCAGACAUUUUGGGCUGCACGCGCAAUACAAUAGAUAUAGAAUCUUUAUGGGAUAAUAUUUUGUAAGAGAUAUUUGAACGUGGAAUUGCUAGUAAAUUUUAUUAAAUAAGUAGAAUUGAAUGUGUCCCUGUUCUUUGUACACACCGCCCGUCGCUAUCUAAGAUGAUAUAUGCUGUGAAAUUAGUGCAAACUACUUGAACAGUAUGUAUUAGAUCUGAUAUAAGUCGUAACAUGGUUGCUGUUGGAGAACCAUUAGCAGGAUCNNNN